UACGUAGGGGGCAAGCGUUGUCCGGAAUCAUUGGGCGUAAAGCGCGCGUAGGCGGCCCGGUAAGUCCGCUGUAAAAGUCCAGGGCUCAACCCUGGAAAGCCGGUGGAUACUGUCGGGCUAGAGUCCGGAAGAGGUGAGUGGAACUCCUAGUGUAGAGGUGAAAUUCGUAGAUAUUAGGAAGAACACCAGUGGCGAAGGCGGCUCACUGGUCCGGUACUGACGCUGAGGUGCGAAAGCGUGGGGAGCAAACAGG
Molecule: ribosomal RNA, 253 nt
Filed under: uncultured bacterium
Lineage: Bacteria
Description: partial 16S ribosomal RNA
Rfam family: Bacterial small subunit ribosomal RNA
Source: RNAcentral